Molecule: long non-coding RNA, 1492 nt
Filed under: Marmota monax (woodchuck)
Lineage: Eukaryota; Metazoa; Chordata; Mammalia; Rodentia; Sciuridae
Source: RNAcentral
AAUUCUGCAUCAGGUUUGAGCACUAAUGUAUGUGAAGCCUCAAUACAUGCUUGGGGCUCAAGAGAACCAGGGUCAGUACAUCUGCCUUUAAGUUCACCUUGCAGUAGGGCUGGAAUUUGCAUAAUCAAAAGUUGACUAUUUUAAAAAAAUAGUCUGAAUAGAUCUCAAGGAAGAGAAAUGGAAAGUUUUAGUUCUCUGAUAUUUGAAACUGAAAAACCUAAAUCACUGUAGGAAACUGUACUGCUUCUGAGAAAUACCUCCACAGGUUAAAAAAGAUUUCAGACAGUUGCUGGGAUUGUGUUCCAAUUCCAGUCCUGCACCCGUUGCUAUGGUAAUGUCUAUAUCACACACAAUAGGUAGAAUCAGGGCAAAUCAUCUUUCAUAGUCUUUUUGAAACUCAAUUGUAAAAUGAUGUUCAUGCCUGUCUGACAGGCUUAUUGUCACCAAUGGGAUGAUGGUGAUGGCAGUAGGCAUGAGGAUAAUUGAAGAACAGAUGCAAAUGUAUACAAUGCUGCAUCUAUCCCAUUCUUGCUGAAGUGAAACUGGGAUUUUCACUUUCUCCCAGCUAUUUCAGAAACUGUAUGUUCCUUACCCAACUGUUCUAAUAAUUUUCUGUCAGUGAAAAGACACUCUAUUUCAGUUACAGUCAAAGUAAGUAAUGAGAUGUUCCAAGGAUCUCCAUGAUUUAAUAUACUCGUUCUAUCAAUGCAUAAGAUAUUAUUUCAGAUAGCAGAUUUUUCCUCCUAUAUUGCUUUUUAGACCUUUGCUUUUCUUAUUUCAGAUAGCAGAUUUUUUCCUCCUAUAUUGCUUUUUAGACCUUUGCUUUUCUUGUUGUCUUUUCCCUGAAAUUGCUAUUUUCCGUUAUCAGAUACUCUUUUCUUCCUUCUUCAUUGUCUUAGCUUAACCUGUUUAACUGGGUUCUUAUGGAUUUAUACAGUGUAUUUUGACUUUGUCAGAAGACUUGAUUAUUGAUGUUGACUUGUCAGAGAACUCAACGUAUCCAAAAUAAGUGUUAGGUAGGGAGGCUCUCCAAGUACUUGGGAGGCUGAGCUGAGAAUCCAAGAUAACAUUAGAUUGGGUUGCAGUGUUAACUAGAGCUAGUACUUUAUUCUUCCCCAUCUAGUACUGUUGUCCGAAGAGAAAAGGUUACUACAUAUUGACGAGUUAAGUAAUAUUUGAGGAGUAUUGUAAAACACAACUAUAAUGAUGAAUUUAUUCAAAGCAAAACACCUGUACCUGAACCUUUCUUGAGUUAAGUACUUACUAGCAUUUGUACUACAACCUCAGGUACCCUUAUAGAGUUCAUGUGUUCACUUUAGUGUUUGAAAAGACGUAAAGAAUUUUCUUAAUCUUUUAACAUUUUAAAGGUUUCCCUUAAAAUUUUUAAAGUAACCUUUUAAAAAUGUAUUCCUGGGCUGGGGAUAUGACUCAAGCGGUAGCGCGCUCGCCUGGCAUGCGUGCGGCCUGGGUUCGAUCCUCAGCACCACAUACA